UUUAAGCAUAUCACUCAGUGGAGGAACAGCAAGCAACUGCGAUUGCUUCAGUAACGGCGAUUGAACAGGCAAGGAAAGGGCUCAGCCCGGACGUGAGUUCCCUGUCUGGGGCCGUCCCCCGUGCGCGGGUGGACCCCCACGAUCGGCUAUCAUGGAAUCUCGGCAGAUGCUGUGGGCUAUGGAGCGGCCGGCUGCGCCGUUCGGCGACUGUGGCACCGGGAAUAGCCCUGGAAUGGGCAGCAACGGAGGGCGACGGCCCCCUACGGAGGAACGUGUGCCACGGUAUGCCCGGACGGUGUGGCCGGUCGCAUCCAGGAGUAGAGCUGUUUGGGACUGCAGUUUGAAGCGGGAUGUGUAUCCAUCCCAAGGCAGAAUACAGACCUGAGACCGAUAGCGCACAAGUAGAGUGAUUGAAGGAUGCAAAGAACUCAGCGAAGAGGGUUAAAAGUCCCUGAAGCCUCGGCAGGAAUGGCGGUGGAUGGUGCUGUGGAUGUGAUCGUGCCUCGCCACGGCGGGAACGGCCCCAGGAAUGGGUGCCCCGCCCCGACGUGCGCGACGGCGCUCUCCUUUGCUCCAGGCGGCCUUGGGCCAGCCUCUCGGACCGGCCACUGAGCCUCCGCCCCCAGGCGGAGAUGUAAUCGUGGUAUCCGGAGGUGGUACGCAGCCCGACCGGGCCCGAGGUCUGCGGAAGUGCGACAGGCGAGGAGCGGGACACACUCCCCUCUCUCAAACGGUGUGAUCAGACACGGCAUACAAAAACCUGGCCCGUCUCCGGACAGGGCCAGUCACCGGGCCCCGGUGCACAAGCUGGACCCAGGGUCCUGGCGCCCCGCGGUGACUGCACCAUGCUCCAUGGUGGUCGCCCGGGGACCGCCGACCCUCCAGUCGGGGCUCGGUGCAGAAGGCAGCGAACGGCUUGGCGACGCUCCCCCCGCGGGGGUGUGCCAGCGCCAUCCACUGCCCGUCUUGAAACACGGACCAAGGAGUCUAUGGAGCUUGCCAAGGGUUGUCUGGCUCGCCAUAAGCCUUCCGGGGCACGGUGAAAGCAACAGCCAUCCCGGAUGUGCGCGGCAAUCGGCACUGCAAGGGACACCGGGCCCGCAGUCCGGCGGACAGGGUUUUGAGUGCUUGCAAGGUCCAUGGGACCCGAAAGGUGGUGAACUAUACCAUUCCACACCGAAGCCAUGGGAAACUGUGGUGGAAGGUGGUAGCUGUUCUGACGUGCAAAUCGUGUAGCUCUGAGAGUGGCAUAGGGGUGAAAGGCCAAUCGAACCACCUAGUAGCUGGUUCCCUCCGAAGUUUCCCUCAGGAAUAGCA
Molecule: ribosomal RNA, 1317 nt
Filed under: Euglena geniculata
Lineage: Eukaryota; Euglenozoa; Euglenophyceae; Euglenales; Euglenaceae
Description: partial large subunit ribosomal RNA
Rfam family: Eukaryotic large subunit ribosomal RNA
Source: RNAcentral